UCUUCUUCAGCUUCAGUGUGUACCGGCGCGAUGCUGCCUAUCCUUUGUCGCUAUCGGUCGGAGCUCUCGUUGGCGUUAGAGUUGUGCACACUUGUUGGGGCAUGUUGCCGAAUUGGACUUCCUAUAGAGAGGAAGAAACCAGGCUCAGUCGCUGCCGGACGAAAGGCCGUCGAGAUCCAGUGAGGCCGAUUCCCACCGCAGGGAAGAAAC
This 210-nucleotide long non-coding RNA is filed under the name Linum usitatissimum (flax). Its description in RNAcentral is "long non-coding RNA (LUSI_LNC008044)". The record is from RNAcentral. Lineage: Eukaryota; Viridiplantae; Streptophyta; Magnoliopsida; Malpighiales; Linaceae.